GCUCGAAGGUUAAUUGAUGAUGUUAAGCUAUGCGAAGCAUUUGAUCGAAGCCCGAGUAAACGGCGGCCGUAACUAUAACGGUCCUAAGGUAGCGAAAUUCCUUGUCGGUUAAAUACCGACCUGCAUGAAUGGCGUAACGAGAUGGGAGCUGUCUCAAAGAGGGAUCCAGUGAAAUUGUAGUGGAGGUGAAAAUUCCUCCUACCCGCGGCAAGACGGAAAGACCCCGUGGACCUUUACUACAGCUUGACACUGCUACUUGGAUAAAGAUGCGCAGGAUAGGUGGGAGGCUUUGAUCCAUAGACCCUGGUUUAUGGUGAGCCAUUGUUGAGAUACCACUCUUCUUUAUUCGGGUAGCUAACUAGCCUAAGUUAUCCUUAGGUAGGACAAUGUCUGGUGGGUAGUUUGACUGGGGCGGUCGCCUCCCAAAAUGUAACGGAGGCUUACAAAGUUG
Molecule: ribosomal RNA, 451 nt
Filed under: Campylobacter jejuni
Lineage: Bacteria; Pseudomonadati; Campylobacterota; Epsilonproteobacteria; Campylobacterales; Campylobacteraceae
Description: bacterial LSU rRNA
Rfam family: Bacterial large subunit ribosomal RNA
Source: RNAcentral